RNAcentral lists this ribosomal RNA (461 nucleotides) under uncultured Glomus. Its description in RNAcentral is "SSU rRNA". It matches the Rfam family "Eukaryotic small subunit ribosomal RNA", at positions 569 to 1035 of the family's 1831-position model. Lineage: Eukaryota; Fungi; Glomeromycota; Glomeromycetes; Glomerales; Glomeraceae. The record is from RNAcentral.
AGCAGCCGCGGUAAUUCCAGCUCCAAUAGCGUAUAUUAAAGUUGUUGCAGUUAAAAAGCUCGUAGUUGAAUUUCGGGAUCAAUUUAUUGGUCGUGCUAUUGUACGUACUGGUAUUAUUGAUUCCUACCUUCUGACGAACCAUGAUGUCAUUAAUUUGGUGUCAUGGGGAAUCAGGACUGUUACUUUGAAAAAAUUAGAGUGUUUAAAGCAGGCUCACGCUUGAAUACAUUAGCAUGGAAUAACGAAAUAGGACGUUUGAUUCUAUUUUGUUGGUUUCUAGGAUCGACGUAAUGAUUAAUAGGGAUAGUUGGGGGCAUUAGUAUUCAAUUGUCAGAGGUGAAAUUCUUGGAUUUAUUGAAGACUAACUACUGCGAAAGCAUUUGCCAAGGAUGUUUUCAUUAAUCAAGAACGAAAGUUAGGGGAUCGAAGACGAUCAGAUACCGUCGUAGUCUUAACCAUAA